Molecule: ribosomal RNA, 497 nt
Filed under: uncultured bacterium
Lineage: Bacteria
Description: partial 16S ribosomal RNA
Rfam family: Bacterial small subunit ribosomal RNA
Source: RNAcentral
GAUGAACGCUGGCGGCGUGCCUAAUACAUGCAAGUCGAGCGAACGGACGAGAAGCUUGCUUCUCUGAUGUUAGCGGCGGACGGGUGAGUAACACGUGGAUAACCUACCUAUAAGACUGGGAUAACUUCGGGAAACCGGAGCUAAUACCGGAUAAUAUUUUGAACCGCAUGGUUCAAAAGUGAAAGACGGUCUUGCUGUCACUUAUAGAUGGAUCAGCGCUGCAUUAGCUAGUUGGUAAGGUAACGGCUUACCAAGGCAACGAUGCAUAGCCGACCUGAGAGGGUGAUCGGCCACACUGGAACUGAGACGCGGUCCAGACUCCUACGGGAGGCAGCAGUAGGGAAUCUUCCGCAAUGGGCGAAAGCCUGACGGAGCAACGCCGCGUGAGUGAUGAAGGUCUUCGGAUCGUAAAACUCUGUUAUUAGGGAAGAACAUAUGUGUAAGUAACUGUGCACAUCUUGACGGUACCUAAUCAGAAAGCCACGGCUAACUACGUG